Molecule: ribosomal RNA, 442 nt
Filed under: uncultured bacterium
Lineage: Bacteria
Description: partial 16S ribosomal RNA
Rfam family: Bacterial small subunit ribosomal RNA
Source: RNAcentral
CCACGGGUGGCUGCAGUGGGGAAUAAUGGGCCAUGGAGGCAACUCUGACCCAGCAACGCCGCGUGAAUGAUGAAGGUCUUCGGAUUGUAAAGUUCUUUUCUAAGGGAAGAAGAAAGUGACGGUACCUUAGGAAUAAGCCUCGGCUAACUACGUGCCAGCAGCCGCGGUAAUACGUAGGAGGCAAGCGUUAUCCGGAAUGACUGGGCGUAAAGGGUGCGUAGGUGGUUCAGCAAGUUAGUAGCGUAACUCCGGGGCUCAACCUCGGCACUACUACUAAAACUGUUGGACUUGAGUGCAGGGGGGGCAAGUGGAAUUCCUAGUGUAGCGGUGGAAUGCGUAGAUAUUAGGAGGAACACCAGUGGCGAAGGCGAGUUGCGGGACUGUAACUGACACUGAGGCACGAAAGCGUGGGGAGCGAACAGGAUUAGAUACCCGAGUAGUC